CUACGGGAGGCAGCAGUGGGGAAUAUUGGACAAUGGGCGCAAGCCUGAUCCAGCCAUACCGCGUGGGUGAAGAAGGCCUCGGGUUGUAAAGCCCUUUUGUUGGGAAAGAAAUCCAGCUGGCUAAUACCCGGUUGGGAUAACGGUACCCAAAGAAUAAGCACCGGCUAACUUCGUGCCAGCAGCCGCGGUUAUACGAAGGGUGCAAGCGUUACUCGGAAUA
Molecule: ribosomal RNA, 220 nt
Filed under: uncultured bacterium
Lineage: Bacteria
Description: partial 16S ribosomal RNA
Rfam family: Bacterial small subunit ribosomal RNA
Source: RNAcentral